RNAcentral lists this ribosomal RNA (410 nucleotides) under uncultured bacterium. Its description in RNAcentral is "bacterial SSU rRNA". It matches the Rfam family "Bacterial small subunit ribosomal RNA", at positions 359 to 776 of the family's 1533-position model. The record is from RNAcentral.
GAAUUUUUGGCAAUGGGGGCAACCCUGACCAAGCAACGCCGCGUGGAUGAUGUAGUCUCUUGGGACGUAAAAUCCUUUCGACGGGGAAGAAAACCGCAAGGUUUGACGGUACCCGUAGAAGAAGCCCCGGCUAACUCCGUGCCAGCAGCCGCGGUAAUACGGGGGGGGCAAGCGUUGUGCGGAAUUACUGGGCGUAAAGGGCGCGUAGGCGGUUUGCUAAGUUGGAUGUGAAAACUCUGGGCUUAACCCAGAGCCUGCAUCCAAAACUGGCAGGCUGGAGUUUUGGAGGGGGAAGCGGAAUUCCUGGUGUAGCAGUGAAAUGCGUAGAUAUCAGGAGGAACACCGGUGGCGAAGGCGGCUUCCUGGACAAAAACUGACGCUGAGGCGCGAAAGCUAGGGGAGCAAACAGG